RNAcentral lists this ribosomal RNA (424 nucleotides) under uncultured bacterium. Its description in RNAcentral is "bacterial SSU rRNA". It matches the Rfam family "Bacterial small subunit ribosomal RNA", at positions 107 to 518 of the family's 1533-position model. The record is from RNAcentral.
UGAGUAACACGUGGACAAUCUGCCCCCCGGCCCGGGAUAGCCCAGGGAAACCUGGAUUAAUACCGGAUGAGACGGGACCCGCGAAGGCGGGACCCGGGAAGGCGCUGCGGCGCCGGCGGGGGAUGAGUCUGCGUCCCAUUAGCUAGACGCGGGGUAACGGCCCACCGUGGCGACGAUGGGUAGCCGGCCUGAGAGGGUGGACGGCCACAUUGGAACUGAGACACGGUCCAGACUCCUACGGGAGGCAGCAGCUAAGAAUCUUCCGCAAUGGGCGAAAGCCUGACGGAGCGAACCGCCGCGUGAACGAAGAAGGCCGUGAGGUUGUAAAGUUCUUUUCGGGAGGGGGAACAACCGUGGCAGGGAAUGGCCGCGGGAUGACGUGAAUCCCGGAAUAAGCCCCGGCUAACUACGUGCCAGCCGCCGC